Molecule: long non-coding RNA, 698 nt
Organism: Bactrocera latifrons
Lineage: Eukaryota; Metazoa; Arthropoda; Insecta; Diptera; Tephritidae
Exons: 3
Source: RefSeq, a predicted model, not a curated record
AGCUGUUAUACACAAACAGGAAGUAAAAUCAAUAUUGACGAUUACAACACUAAUGACAUUUCUGAUGUUGAGAAAUGGAACCCUGAUGGUGGAAAACGUUGAUGGUGCAAACGGUUUUGCUAAAAUUUCUCUUGAAGGGGCAGAGUUAAAAGUCAAUUACAUCACAAUACUACAUAUUAUCAACCCACAAUGAGGAAAAACAUUCUUUAAUACAAGAAUUAGUAACUAUUAACCCACAUAGACAACGAAGAGGAUUAAUCAAUAUCAUAGGAUCGGGUAUGAAAUGGCUAAGUGGUACAAUGGACGAUAGCGACAGAGAAGAAAUAGAACAAUAUCUGCAAACAAGAGACGAGAAUAACCAUGCAAUAUAGAAAAUUCAAAUCAAAAUAUAGAAAUAAAUAAUGUAUUUAAUGUAACAAUUGCAAAACUUAAAGAAGCUAUAGAUAAAGAUAGGGAAAAUUCACAAGAAAAUUUAAUGAAAUUGCUGCAAGUGAUCAACAACUAGAAAGGAAAAUAAUGUAUCUUUAUACUCUGUUAAAAAUUAAAAUUUUAUUAGACAAUGUUGAACACAUACAAAACAAACCUUGUGGCUACAAAAAUGAAUAUAAUGCAUAACACCAAAAAAUAGUCCGUUAAAAUAUAGAUUUAUAUAAAAUACAAAAUAUGAAAGUUAGCACAGCAUAAUAUAAAAAUAAUGA